AUUGAACGCUGGCGGCAGGCCUAACACAUGCAAGUCGAGCGGAUGAAGGGAGCUUGCUCCUGGAUUCAGCGGCGGACGGGUGAGUAAUGCCUAGGAAUCUGCCUGGUAGUGGGGGAUAACGUCCGGAAACGGGCGCUAAUACCGCAUACGUCCUGAGGGAGAAAGUGGGGAUCUUCGGACCUCACGCUAUCAGAUGAGCCUAGGUCGGAUUAGCUAGUUGGUGGGGUAAAGGCCUACCAAGGCGACGAUCCGUAACUGGUCUGAGAGGAUGAUCAGUCACACUGGAACUGAGACACGGUCCAGACUCCUACGGGAGGCAGCAGUGGGGAAUAUUGGACAAUGGGCGAAAGCCUGAUCCAGCCAUGCCGCGUGUGUGAAGAAGGUCUUCGGAUUGUAAAGAACUUUAAGUUGGGAGGAAGGGCAGUAAGUUAAUACCUUGCUGUUUUGACGUUACCAACAGAAUAAGCACCGGCUAACUUCGUG
Molecule: ribosomal RNA, 483 nt
Filed under: uncultured bacterium
Lineage: Bacteria
Description: partial 16S ribosomal RNA
Rfam family: Bacterial small subunit ribosomal RNA
Source: RNAcentral